GACGAACGCUGGCGGCGUGCCUAAUACAUGCAAGUCGAGCGGACAGACGGGAGCUUGCUCCCUGAUGUUAGCGGCGGACGGGUGAGUAACACGUGGGUAACCUGCCUGUAAGACUGGGAUAACUCCGGGAAACCGGGGCUAAUACCGGAUGGUUGUCUGAACCGCAUGGUUCAGACAUAAAAGGUGGCUUCGGCUACCACUUACAGAUGGACCCGCGGCGCAUUAGCUAGUUGGUGAGGUAACGGCUCACCAAGGCAACGAUGCGUAGCCGACCUGAGAGGGUGAUCGGCCACACUGGGACUGAGACACGGCCCAGACUCCUACGGGAGGCAGCAGUAGGGAAUCUUCCGCAAUGGACGGAAGUCUGACGGAGCAACGCCGCGUGGGUGAUGAAGGUUUUCGGAUCGUAAAGCUCUGUUGUUAGGGAAGAACAAGUGCCGUUCAAAUAGGGCGGCACCUUGACGGUACCUAACCAGAAAGCCACGGCUAACUACGUG
Molecule: ribosomal RNA, 497 nt
Filed under: uncultured bacterium
Lineage: Bacteria
Description: partial 16S ribosomal RNA
Rfam family: Bacterial small subunit ribosomal RNA
Source: RNAcentral